AGUGGUAAUGACUUCAUCGCCUUCGGAAAUUCCGGGGGAGGAAAGUCCGGACAGCGCAGGGCAUUCUGCUUCCUAACGGGAAGGGGUCUCUUAGGGGAUUACAGCAAGUGCAACAGAAAGUAUACCGCCCCUUAUGGGGUAAGGGUGAAAUGGUGGGGUAAGAGCCCACCGGUCCUGGUGGUGACAUCGGGAGCCAGGUAAACCUCAGAAGCUGAAAGGCCAAAUAAACCGGUGCUUGAGGGCGGCCCGUCCAAUACCGGAGGGUAGGCUGAUUGAGGCGACUCGUGAGAGCCGUCCCAGAUAAAUGAUGAAGGUCCCUUUAAGGGAUAACAGAAUCCGGCUUAUGAUUUAUCACUUAAA
This 360-nucleotide RNase P RNA is filed under the name Bacteroidota bacterium. RNAcentral describes it as "Bacteroidetes bacterium (activated sludge metagenome) RNase P RNA component class A". It matches the Rfam family "Bacterial RNase P class A". Rfam says of the family: Ribonuclease P (RNase P) is a ubiquitous endoribonuclease, found in archaea, bacteria and eukarya as well as chloroplasts and mitochondria. Its best characterised activity is the generation of mature 5'-ends of tRNAs by cleaving the 5'-leader elements of precursor-tRNAs. The record is from RNAcentral. Lineage: Bacteria; Pseudomonadati; Bacteroidota.